This is a long non-coding RNA of Danio aesculapii, 1901 nucleotides long. RefSeq lists it as uncharacterized. The record is from RefSeq and is a predicted model, not a curated record. Lineage: Eukaryota; Metazoa; Chordata; Actinopteri; Cypriniformes; Danionidae. The transcript has 2 exons.
CUUUCUUUCAGCUAACUCUUCUCUUUAGCAACAGUUCAGGAUGCACAUUCUUGGGAACACUACUAAACUUAGUGCACUGCUGACAUAUACUGUACACUGGAUGCAUCUUGUUUACAAGCAGAGGAAUAGCUUCAUUUACUUAAAGCAUGGGUCUCAAACUCAAUUCCUGGAGAGCCGCAGCUCUGCAUAGUUUUGCUCCAACCCUAUUCAAACAGAGCUGAGUUUAAGACUUACGCUUAAAGUCUUCAGCAUGUUGGUACAGUACAUAAAUUACUCUGAAGUUCUCCAAAGAGAGGAUGACUUGAUUUUUUUUGUCUAGCCUUGUUUAUUCAAAUCAGAACAUACAGAAUCUAGCAAUAGACAUCAGCAACUUUAGAUUAGGUGUUUUUUUAUUUAUUUAUUUAUUUAUUUUAGCUCACAAAAGAAUUUGUAACUUUACAAAUGAACCGCUGAAGACACAUACUGUUUUGAGAAUGUUUUUGGUUUCUGGACCCUUGCUGACAAUGAAGGAACAGAGAGUGUCAGGAUUUCUGAUCAAGAUGUUUAACGAGAAGUAAUAGUCAAUUGAUUCUAGAGGUUGAUCACAUGCCUAGUGUCUGCAACUUUUUUUAAGGUCCUUAAUGUAUUUGAUUUCAGUUUCAAGAUCCAUAUAUCUUCAUGUGUUGACUGUGGUGCCAAUCUUUGUAGCUGGCCUACUAAUACUUGGAGUGGUUAUAUGGUUUAAUGCACACAAAAGAUGUCAAAAAAGCAAACCAUAGAAAACUGGACAUCAAAGAAGGGCAACUACAGUUUUACACUUAUCAACAACAACGGAAACAAGGGCUCCCAUAACUUAUGUGCCACUCCCGAAUAACUAUAGCAUAAUUAAAACCAGCCAUAAGAUUGAUUCAACAAUCAUAAGCCGGUCUUAAGCCCGGGUAAAUGGUGAGGGGAAAAAUUCAAUUUUAAAGUAAUUUACAUAAAUUGUUAACUUUGCGAAAUCAUUUGGCACUAAUGUCCACACGUACACAAGAAUUUUAUAAACAUUUUUCAACUUAAUUUAAAAGAUAAAAACUACACAAGGGCGACGCAGUAGGUAGUGCUGUCGCCUCACAGCAAGAAGGUCGCUGGUUCGAGCCCCAGCGGGGUCAGUUGGCAUUUCUGUGUGGUGUCAUGUUCUCCCCGUGUUGGAGUGGGUUUCCUCCGGGUGCUGAAUUGGGUAAGCUAAAAUUGUCCGUAGUGUAUGUGUGUGAAUGAGAGUGUGUGGAUGUUUCCCAGAGAUGGGUUGCAGCUGGAAGGGCAUGCGCUGCGUAAAACAUGUGCUAGAUAAGUUGGUGGUUCAUUCCGCUGUUGUGACCCCAGAUUAAUAAAGGGACUAAGCCGAAAAGAAAAUGAAUGAAUGAAUAAAAACUAGACAAGCAAAGUUUAACAAAAUUUCCAUCCCAAUGAAACUGCAAAAAUAAAGUGCAAAAAAAGUGCCCUUUAAGGCACUGUCAAGCGCAUUACAAGCCAUCUGGUGGCGAUAAAGUCCUAGCCAUAGUUGUGUAGGCCAAUCAGAUACGAUUCAGGUACAGUACUUUGACUAUGGGGAACUUUAAAAAGAACUUCAAGGCAUGGAGCUUAGAAAAGCACCAGGAAUUUACGGUCCACUGAGCCACUUUUAUACAGCUUUUGUUUCGAGAUUGGAGAGAGUUUGCUGGAGGUACUGAAUGAUUUUGAUGAGUUGCUGCAAAGCAGUUCUGACUCUCCUACCCAAAAACAGCGAUGUGACGGAUAUCAAAUGCUGGGGACCAGUCUCCCUCCUGUGUAGUAAUGGGACACCAAUGCACGCCUCACACCAGUGCCGAUAUACAGCCACAUUGCACUGCUACUAAUGUGAUAUUGCGUUUAUACAACAGUUCGACACCAUAAUCAUGUGUAUA